UACAGAGGGGGCAAGCGUUAUUCGGAAUUAUUGGGCGUAAAGGGCGCGUAGGCGGCCAACUAAGUCGGAUGUGAAAUCCCCAGGCUCAACUUGGGAACUGCAUCCGAUACUGGUCGGCUUGAAUCCGGGAGAGGGAUGCAGAAUUCCUGGUGUAGCGGUGAAAUGCGCAGAUAUCAGGAGGAACACCGGUGGCGAAGGCGGGUCUCUGGGCCGAUACUGACGCUGAGGAGCGAAAGCGUGGGGAGCGAACAGG
This 253-nucleotide ribosomal RNA is filed under the name uncultured bacterium. RNAcentral's name for it is "partial 16S ribosomal RNA". It matches the Rfam family "Bacterial small subunit ribosomal RNA", at positions 524 to 776 of the family's 1533-position model. The record is from RNAcentral.